RNAcentral lists this long non-coding RNA (2474 nucleotides) under Schizosaccharomyces pombe (fission yeast). The record is from RNAcentral. Lineage: Eukaryota; Fungi; Ascomycota; Schizosaccharomycetes; Schizosaccharomycetales; Schizosaccharomycetaceae.
CACCGCUUUGUAAUGGACGAGGAUGCUGCAUUCUGUUCAUUCGGCCGCCUCGUCCACGUCCACGAUUGGUACGCAUUCCAGUUCCAUGUCCCUCCAUCCGGUUAUUUCGAUACCAUCCUCUAUUUUGACGAUAGUACGAAUCAUCACGCAUGAUAUUCACCCGCACACCUUCUGGAACUUUGAUGCUUCCAAGGGCCUUUGAAACAGCAUUCUGGUUUUCAACAAAUACAUAUGCAUAGUUAGUGGGGUUUACGUUUUGAGGAGCUUGGGGACUUUUGUAACGAUUGAGUGAAGUACGAAUUUGAAUAUUCGUAAUCAGGCUGUCUGUCCCGUCCUUAAAGUAAGAACGGGCUUCCUCUUCAGAAUUGCAAGGGGUAAUAUGAAAUCCACAACGUUCAUAACGCUGCUCACCACUAUAUUGACGGAAUUCACGAUCGUUGCCCUUCUGCAUAUCAGUUCUUCUACCUUCUUGUGCUUGAGAUCUUGUAACAUUUGCAGCAUUCUCUUGUUCAAGUAUGGUAACCUCUGUAGUCGUCUCACCUAGCUCGAGAUUUCCAGUACCCUUAGUCACCUCUUCAACGUCAACUUCCUCUUUCCCUCCAAUUGCUGGUUGUUCUUCUUCAUUAGGACUAGGCUUCUCUGCUACGCCAGAAAUGGGUUCUUCCUCGGCAGCAGGUGGUCCCGACUUCUCUUCGAUUACUUCAUGAGUCUCAGCCGACUCUUCUGUAGUAUUCGCUCUUGACAUUCCUAGCUCAUCAGUAUGUUCCUGAUCGUACCCUUCAAUCUGUUCUUCUUCGGUUGGUGUAGCCGUAGCUUCUCUGUUCUUGGUAAACUGUGCUUGAGAUUCCACCAACCUAUUGUUAGCGUAAUAAUAGGUACCGGUAUUUUCCGAAGUUGAGCGUGGAAUGUGAGAUGCAUAAUUUUCGUUACGACGUGAAGCCAUGCGACGAUAGCCUAAAUUAAAGCCAUGAGAUUUGCUUUCCACUUGAACAUGCCCAUUUUCGACGACAAAAACAGUCCAUCCAAAGGAAGCAUCUAAUAAAUUGAAGUUCCAUAGGUUUUUAAAAGCAGUGCCGGGAAGCAUGUUAUUCAUAGCAUAUGAGUUAGUUGCAUCGGGCAUGCGAGAGACUAGGCGAACAACAUUGUUUAUUAGAUGAUGUUGUUCAGGGGUAACCAUCUUCUCAACCUCAGCCUUAACAGUGUCAUACACUUCCAUAAACUGUGCACGGGCAGCCGAAAGUUUUUGAAGAUAAUGUUCAGGACUAUGAUUUACGCAAAACUCAUUGUAGCUAGCUCCAUAACGAAAAUGAAGACCGGCGGAUAAAGUCAGGUCAGCCUGGCAAGCAGUAGCUAAUUGAGAAAGAACACCUUCUCUUCCAAUGGGAUGAUGCGUAAUAAAAAUACGUGCCUCCUCUCUGUCAAGCAGGCUCUUAGCGGUUUCUAUUAGUUCACCCAUUUGAAGGAUUGUAGUCCACAUAGUACCCUGGCCACCAGCAAUAGUUCCUUUACCGUCUCCAUUGUCAAAAAGCUUAAAAGGGACAUAAGGACCUCCAAGACCAAGUAAACGGAUUUUCAUAUCUCCAAUUUGCAAUAGGUAGGAAUGAAGUUCGUCCACUAUGUUAAGGUUUGGAAUAGAAUAUUCUCCAGAACGAAAUUUUUCCAAAACGUGCACAUCUUCGCAAGCUCCCCAUACUACAUAUACAGGGACUGAGAAUUUCUUCUCUUGUGACAAAAAUUGAGGUAAUUCUGAAAGCAGGCAAUCGGGGUGAGAAGCAAUACUAUUCUUCAAAUCCCCAAUUGGAUUCGAGGGAUAAUAAUCAAAGUUUUUGGACCUAGGAAGCUUUUUUAUGAGAGGCGAGAAUUGGACAAUGUGACGAAGAGUACUGAAAAAAGGUUAGAACAAAGAAAAAUGAAACAUAAAAAUUUUUGACACAAAACAUACCGUUCAGAUAUGCUAGGAAGUGAGGAUCGCUCAAAAAAUCCAAAGUCACCAGUGUGGAUGACACAGGAGGCAUUGGUUUCCUCAACCAGGCUAUUUAUUAAACUCAGUUCACCUGAAGGGAUAGUUAUUAGUAAAAACGCGUAUUAAAGAGUAGUAAUUUUAAGGAUAGGAAUAGCUAAGGAGAAUAAAGUGUAUGGACAAAAUUCUUUUACGAACCAACGAGGAUCUUUAAUGACAAAAUGAGUAAAUUGAGCAAUUGCGCUUCAACUCCUGCUAAGCCAUUAUGGAUAAGUUCAUGCAAAAGCAUACAAAUUCGCAUCUUCUUAUCUUAAAAAGUAAAACGAUCGUCGAUAAUUCCCCCGAUGGGGUGCUUUUGAAUUCUCGCUGGCAGCUCUAAAUCCAUAAACAACGCAUACUUACCUCGAACAUCGGCAAUACAUAAGAUCCUGGAUUUAUUAUCCAAUGUGAGUACUUGAGCUGAAACAUCCAACGUGGAAUUAUUCUCGGAAUCUGAGUACGUUUUAGAGGAUUU